This 260-nucleotide ribosomal RNA is filed under the name uncultured bacterium. RNAcentral's name for it is "partial 16S ribosomal RNA". It matches the Rfam family "Bacterial small subunit ribosomal RNA", at positions 1241 to 1500 of the family's 1533-position model. The record is from RNAcentral.
AAAGGGAAGCGAAGGGGCGACCUGGAGCAAAUCUCAAAAAUAACGUCUCAGUUCGGACUGUAGUCUGCAACCCGACUACACGAAGCUGGAAUCGCUAGUAAUCGCGAAUCAGAAUGUCGCGGUGAAUACGUUCCCGGGUCUUGUACACACCGCCCGUCACACCAUGGGAGUUGGUAAUGCCCGAAGUCAGUGACCCAACCGCAAGGAGGGAGCUGCCGAAGGCAGGACUGAUAACUGGGGUGAAGUCGUAACAAGGUAAC